UGGUCCUACGGGACGCAGCAGGGAAUCUUCGGCAAUGGACGAAAGUCUGACCGAGCAACGCCGCGUGAGUGAAGAGGGUUUUCGGAUCGUAAAACUCUGUUGGUAGAGAAGAACGUUGGUGAGAGUGGAAAGCUCAUCAAGUGACGGUAACUACCCAGAAAGGGACGGCUAACUACGUGCCAGCAGCCGCGGUAAUACGUAGGUCCCGAGCGUUGUCCGGAUUUAUUGGGCGUAAAGCGAGCGCAGGUGGUUUAUUAAGUCUGGUGUAAAAGGCAGUGGCUCAACCAUUGUAUGCAUUGGAAACU
RNAcentral lists this ribosomal RNA (305 nucleotides) under uncultured bacterium. RNAcentral's name for it is "bacterial SSU rRNA". It matches the Rfam family "Bacterial small subunit ribosomal RNA", at positions 334 to 634 of the family's 1533-position model. The record is from RNAcentral.